AAUGAUUUGUGGACCCAGGACAUACUUGAAAACGAGAGAAAUCUCAAUGUAUCUUUCCUGGUAAAAUAUUUUAUAAAUAAAUUAAUAAAUAAAUAGUUCCAGUAAGUUAACCAAACCAGGAAGUAACAGGACCAGUUGACGGACUGACAGCCAGGGUGGCGUAACAAGGGCACACCCUUCACACAUAAAGCACUUCAGCAAGCGGACGUGAUUUAA
Molecule: non-coding RNA, 216 nt
Organism: Pelobates cultripes (western spadefoot toad)
Lineage: Eukaryota; Metazoa; Chordata; Amphibia; Anura; Pelobatidae
Source: the annotation of a GenBank genome assembly